Molecule: long non-coding RNA, 338 nt
Organism: Limulus polyphemus (Atlantic horseshoe crab)
Lineage: Eukaryota; Metazoa; Arthropoda; Merostomata; Xiphosura; Limulidae
Exons: 3
Source: RefSeq, a predicted model, not a curated record
GAACUUGGCAAUUCAAAUAUUGACUUCUUUUUUUUCUUCCUUUUUUUUUUUUGCUGUAAAGGGAAAUAAACAUACGACCUAUCAACACGCCAGGUACUGAAAGAUAUUAUCUAACUACUAACGUGGUUAUUAGCGUAGACCAGCAAUCACCACGCCAGUGGAUUCAACUUCAAUACGAGAUGUGAGAGCAGUGCUCCAGCAGCAUUACACCCCUGUUAAAGACUAUACAGACUAGGAAAGGCACUGGUGUAAUCUUUAUGCAAGUGUAACACAUUUUGCAAAUGAAUGAAUACACUGUUGCCCAAUAAAGGCACCAGCAAGAGAGCAGAAAGUUUGCA